This 433-nucleotide ribosomal RNA is filed under the name uncultured bacterium. RNAcentral describes it as "partial 16S ribosomal RNA". It matches the Rfam family "Bacterial small subunit ribosomal RNA", at positions 29 to 507 of the family's 1533-position model. The record is from RNAcentral.
AAUGAACGCUGGCGGCAUGCCUAACACAUGCAAGUCGAACGAAGGCUUCGGCCUUAGUGGCGCACGGGUGCGUAACGCGUGGGAAUCUGCCCCUUGGUUCGGAAUAACAGUUAGAAAUGACUGCUAAUACCGGAUGAUGACGUAAGUCCAAAGAUUUAUCGCCGAGGGAUGAGCCCGCGUAGGGUUAGCUAGUUGGUGUGGUAAGAGCGCACCAAGGCGACGAUCCUUAGCUGGUCUGAGAGGAUGAUCAGCCACACUGGGACUGAGACACGGCCCAGACUCCUACGGGAGGCAGCAGUGGGGAAUAUUGGACAAUGGGCGAAAGCCUGAUCCAGCAAUGCCGCGUGAGUGAUGAAGGCCUUAGGGUUGUAAAGCUCUUUUACCCGGGAUGAUAAUGACAGUACCGGGAGAAUAAGCUCCGGCUAACUCCGUG